RNAcentral lists this long non-coding RNA (2198 nucleotides) under Sus scrofa (pig). Its description in RNAcentral is "lncRNA (ENSSSCG00040024206.1)". The record is from RNAcentral. Lineage: Eukaryota; Metazoa; Chordata; Mammalia; Artiodactyla; Suidae.
AAGCAUGUGGUUCAAUGACUCUUGAGAAUUUAGAAGCCCUGUGAUAGAUGGCCUGGUUUGCAGAUUCUCCAAGCAGUUUCACUAGGGAUUGAUAGAGUUCCUGGUCUGAUAUAAUGAAGCACAACAGCAGACUGUAGCAGAAUAUCAACAACAAAAAAAGGGCGGCAAAUUUGUUGGAGCAAAGGAGACGCCUCCAUUCCUUAAGGGUGGGCUACCCAGAUGACCCUAUAAAGGCUAAAGAGCCAUCCUAGUAUUCAAGUAGGCCCUUUGCAUGUAACAAAGAACAUGAUUAAAAGGUACAGUUUGAAAGGGACUGCCUCUCAGCAUCUGUUGCCUUGAUAACUACACAUGAUGUCUCAAUGACUUAGAGCCUGCUUUCGGAAAGCACGAGUUCCUAAGAGAGGGAAUUGCUGCUGUUUCUUGAACCAGGCAGUCUGGUCUCCUAGUGAAGAGCUUGGGCCCUGCAGCAAGAAGACCACGUGCCUCCUCCCAGGCAAGUUGUUGACUCUGUCUCUGGCUCUGUUUCCUCAUCUGGGCCCUGUGGCUAGCCAGAGCUUCCUGAGGUGUGCCUUGCUGCCAAGGCCAAAGCACGAGCUGCAAACAGGCAAAAAAGUGGAGACUGCGAUGCCAUCUUGGGGGUGGGGGUAGGUAGCCCCUGUGCACUGUCACUGCAGGGGUGCUUGGAGCAGCACUUUUCCUUUGUCUCAUACCUUGUGACGCCUCAGCUUUGUAGCUAUAAAUCCUAAAUUGAAAUCUCCUGCUGUUCCAAGCAGACAUAGGGCAAAAGUUUAAACUUGGCGUGGUCUGCAUAUGAACUUGCCAUCUCUGCCCUCCUAUUUCCUGUACUUCCCUAUGCCCAGUGCCCACGAUGAAUCCGUUCCCCUAGCCAGACACCUGGGUCCUUCCAGGCUCCUUUGUGUCACCCACUCGCAUGGUUCAAUCAGCCGUCGGUCGGGUGUGUGUUCUACCUCUUCGCUACUAGCCCCUUUUUAGUGUAGCUGAUCGCUACUCACUUUCCAAUUCAGCUCAAAUGCAACCUCUUACAGGGAAGCUGUUCUGUGGCGGUCCCCUUGCAAGCUGACUUGGGGGCUCCCUUUCUUGAAUCUCCAAAACACCCUGUGCAUAUUCUAGAAAACACUUAGAGCAUUCUUUUCUAAACACUGAGUUCCUCCACUAGACUCUAAGCUUUGGCGGGGGGGGCAGAGAUUAGGUCUUAUUUGACUUUACAUCCCUAACUCUUGGCACAGUGCCUCCCAGGCAUUUGAUGUUUAUUGAAGGAAUCAAAGAAACAGGUCUUUGCCAGGUAACCGUGGCUCAUAACCAUGAUGUAGAACGUAUUUUCAUGGGAAAAUAAAAUAACUUAGGGUUACAAGGGUUACAAGCUUUAGAGUAUUAGCAGGCGGCAUUCUAAACGUUCCUUUUAAGAUUACCAUCUAAACUCUUUUAAAAGUGGAUUCCGCAUGAUGGUAGGUUGCCAGUCCCCUGCCCUGGUCCACAGCAUCCCAGUGGGGACUUUCACGGUCCUUGUCAUGUUGUUUUAUUUCCUUUCACUUUUUUGUUACGCAUUUCUGGGGUUUCUGGAACUAGGGGCAAGGGCUGUUGAUGAAAGGGUCGUAGCUAAAUUUACUUGAAAUGAUGAACAAAUUCAAGGAAGUCUGUUUGCGUGUAGUAAACACAUAAUAGUCGAAAUAGGUAUUUGAAGUUCAAAGCCAAGGCAAACCUCCCAGACCUUAAUAUUAAUUAAAAAAAAUCUUUGGAGUUCCCUUCCUGGCUCAGGAUCGAACCUGCAACCUCAUGGUGCCUAGUCAGAUUCGUUAACCACUGCGCCACGAUGGGAACUCCACUUCAUUUCUUUAAUACACUGUCAUUAACAUAAAUUAAGUAGAAACAAUAAAGGAAGAAAUUUUUCUGUGUUGUGUGUCUCUUGCAAAAUUUUAAGUACUAUCCUACUUUGUUUAAGGGAGAGGAGAGGGGAAAACAUUGAGUCUGGAACUGUAUUUAAAGAAAGAUGAACGAGGAGGAAUACUGGCUUUGGCUCCAAAAUCUUUGUAACACCACAGGUGAAGCCCUGUGGCCUUGGAGUGUGUAUUGGGCAUCCUUCUGUGCUGUGAGCUGGGGUGAGGCUUUGAAGUUUAAAGCCCUGAAUCACCCACUAUACCAGUAUAAACGUAUUUCCCACAAGGAAAAAAAAAAAAAAA